RNAcentral lists this ribosomal RNA (629 nucleotides) under Streptomyces sp. Dk-1. RNAcentral's name for it is "bacterial SSU rRNA". It matches the Rfam family "Bacterial small subunit ribosomal RNA", at positions 40 to 690 of the family's 1533-position model. The record is from RNAcentral. Lineage: Bacteria; Bacillati; Actinomycetota; Actinomycetes; Kitasatosporales; Streptomycetaceae.
CGGGGGCAGCUACCAUGCAGUCGACGAUGACCACUUCGGUGGGGAUUAGUGGCGAACGGGUGAGUAACAGGGGGAAAUCUGCCCUGCACUCUGGGACAAGCCCUGGAAACGGGGUCUAAUACCGGAUACUGAUCCGUCUGGGCAUCCAGAUGGUUCGAAAGCUCCGGCGGUGCAGGAUGAGCCCCCGGCCUAUCAGCUUGUUGGUGAGGUAGGGGCUCACCAAGGCGACAACGGGUAGCCGGCCUGAGAGGGCGACCGGCCACACUGGGACUGAGACACGGCCCAAACUCCUACGGGAGGCAGCAGUGGGGAAUAUUGCACAAUGGGCGAAAGCCUGAUGCAGCGACGCCGCGUGAGGGAUGACGGCCUUCGGGUUGUAAACCUCUUUCAGCAGGGAAGAAGCGAAAGUGACGGUCCCUUCUUAAGAAGCGCCGGCUAACUACGUGCCAGCAGCCGCGGUAAUACGUAGGGCGCGAGCGUUGUCCGGAAUUAUUGGGCGUAAAGAGCUCGUAGGCGGCUUGUCACGUCGGUUGUGAAAGCCCGGGGCUUAACCCCGGGUCUGCAGUCGAUACGGGCAGGCUAGAGUUCGGUAGGGGAGAUCGGAAUUCCUGGUGUAGCGGUGAAAUGCG